UACGAAGGGGGCUAGCGUUGUUCGGAAUUACUGGGCGUAAAGCGUGCGCAGGCGGCUUCUCAAGUCAGGGGUGAAAGCCCAGAGCUCAACUCUGGAAUUGCCUUUGAGACUGAGUGGCUUGAGUACGAAAGAGGAUCGCGGAAUUCCCGGUGUAGAGGUGAAAUUCGUAGAUAUCGGGAGGAACACCAGUGGCGAAGGCGGCGAUCUGGGUCGAUACGUGACGCUGAGGUGGCGAAAGCGUGGGAGCAACAGG
This 253-nucleotide ribosomal RNA is filed under the name uncultured bacterium. RNAcentral describes it as "partial 16S ribosomal RNA". It matches the Rfam family "Bacterial small subunit ribosomal RNA", at positions 524 to 776 of the family's 1533-position model. The record is from RNAcentral.